RNAcentral lists this unclassified non-coding RNA (619 nucleotides) under Hevea brasiliensis (rubber tree). Lineage: Eukaryota; Viridiplantae; Streptophyta; Magnoliopsida; Malpighiales; Euphorbiaceae. The record is from RNAcentral.
AUUUCACCCAACUGGGACACAUGCAUAUCUAGAGUCUUAAAGAAGUUCCCGGUAAUCUGAGAAAUGGACCUUGACAUCGUGAUACUCCCGCAAUGUGCCUCACGUUGCUGUAGUGCGAAUGCGAUUAGUUUCUCCUUCUGAUCAUGUAAACUUUUUUGAAGAUCAUUAACCAAGGUAUCAGCCUGAGAAGCAAUCUCCUUAAAAAGCUCUCCUAAAGCAGAAGAAUGUUUAGAAACUUCACAAUUUAAACGGUCAAAGGUUGACUGAGCAUUGCCGUCAAGUUCCCCAGCCAAACCAUCUAAAGCUUUGAUACCAGAACCAAACAUGGUUUUUAAGUUCUCCAGACGGCCUCGAAGCUCUUCCACUGCCUCAGUCUUUGUAGAAACAAAGGACUGCAUGUCUUCCUCCAUGCCUUUGAGUUGUUGCUCUUGUUGUGUGGUUGAAGAAGCAACAGCCUUAUGCAGGACUUCAAGCUGUUGAGUCAGCUGGGAUUGGAAAUUUUGGAUGAGAACUCUGUUUCCAUCUUCUAUUUUGUCUUUGCGCUCAAUCUUGGCAAACAAGUUCGACACGUCUGAUGCAGCAUUUUCCAGUUCAGCUCGAAGUUCAAAUGCUUGCUCAA